Long non-coding RNA from Sarcophilus harrisii (Tasmanian devil), 783 nucleotides. RefSeq lists it as uncharacterized. NCBI's taxonomy places the organism in Eukaryota, Metazoa, Chordata, Mammalia, Dasyuromorphia, Dasyuridae. The transcript is spliced from 3 exons. The record is from RefSeq and is a predicted model, not a curated record.
GUGCCCAUCCUUUUAUUUUGCAAAUGAGAAAACUAAGGUCCAAGGUAGUUACAUAACUUGUUCUUCUGGGGUCAGAGGGAAAAAUCAGAACAAGGGUGGGAGUUGUAAAGGAAAACAUUUAGGUUUGACAUCAAGAAAAAGUCUCUCGUAAUGAGAGCUAUCCAAAAGUGAAAAUGCACUGUGGUGGAUUCUCUAACACUGAGACCUUAAGGUAAGGACCUUUAUCUUCAAUUGUUGGAUUCUACUUUUGGAUUCCAUGGAACAUGGAAUGGUGUCCAAAGAGUCACAAUAGCAAGCAACCUUAAUGGCAAUGGACAUGGUGGAGAACUGAAGCAGGUAAAGAGAAGAAGUUAUAAAGGGGUAUGUGUACAUAUGUAAGGACUAAUGGCUUUUGGCAUUGUGUACAAAAAUAUGACAUGAGAACUCAGAGGCUCAAUAAUAGUACUUAAUGACCAUCAGCUCUGGAAAGUACUUAUUUCCUAAAUUUCUGAGGGUCCUCAGUUCCCUUCAAGGCUUGGUUCAGGUCCUGAACAAACUGGCACAAAUGAUUGCUGAACCACUGCCCUUAACAUCAUAUCACAUCAUGGGGGAAGUAUCAUAAGACUAUAGAAGAGCAAAUAUCCUGAUUUUCAAAGAAAUGAAUAGAAUAAUCUACCAACUAUAGGCAGUGUAUAGAUUUUAAUUCCUGGAAAGAAAGACAACAACAAUAAAAGAUCCUUGGUAAACAUUUAGAACAUUUAGAAAGUAAGUUAUAGACUGUAAUUUUUUAUUUAACGUGGCCCA